Molecule: small nucleolar RNA, 213 nt
Filed under: Ananas comosus (pineapple)
Lineage: Eukaryota; Viridiplantae; Streptophyta; Magnoliopsida; Poales; Bromeliaceae
Description: Plant small nucleolar RNA U3
Rfam family: Plant small nucleolar RNA U3
About the family: Small nucleolar RNAs (snoRNAs) are involved in the processing and modification of rRNA in the nucleolus. There are two main classes of snoRNAs: the box C/D class, and the box H/ACA class.
Source: Rfam by way of RNAcentral
ACGACCUUACUUGAACAGGAUCUGUUUUAUAGGUUGUACAACUGUGUCCUUGAGUGUGAAGGAGACAGGCAACAAAGUCUGGGUGAUGAAACACGACCUCAGGGCCAGAGCGUGAUUGACCGCCCAGAUCUUCUGAGAUCGGAAGGCUGUAGAGGAUCGUUUCCGGCAGGUCUCAUGGCCGGCUGGGAUGGUCCUGAGGUUGUCUGACAGACU